AUGUUGUGUUCUCUGCUCAGGUUUCCAGAACAUAGAGCUAUCUUCUCGUAUUUUCAGAGGACUUCAGUUUUCAAACGCUGUCUUGUCUGGUCACCAAAACAAUCCUGGAAGUUAAGAAUAUUCAGCAUUCUCUCACAAAGGAAGGAAGAAGGACUCAUAAUGACCAAUUGGCACCUCUCUGACAGGUGGAAAGUUGUUCACCAAGAAAAGCAUAAAGUGAGGAGAAAUGACUGGCCCAGGCUGCCAGGUUCACUCUUCCGUAAUGAAACAGGCAAGUAUAGCCUUGUAUUGUCUGAUGGUGUCCAUCACUUUUCAAGCAAAGGAAACAGACUAUUAUUCUAAAGGCUUCGUUCAGUGUGAAUGACCCUUUUCUUCCUUCCCUGAAUCCUAUACCUAAGGUAGUCUUAUUCUAUUUAAUAACAAUGUCACAAAAAAUUUAGGAUAAGGAAGCUCCAGCCGCUCCCAUGCUACAUGAAACCUCCAACAGAGGAUCAAGCAUCAUGCCAAGGGAAUCCCUGAGAGGUGGAAGAAUUAGCCUCUGCCUCGAUAUUUGCCCAAGCAUCACACCACAACAUUCCUCAAGCUUGUGAGAAUGAAUCCAGGGGACACAGAAGAUGAGGGAGUUGUGGGAACCCUACUUUUUGUUUGAAAAGAAACAUCCAUCCUCUUUCGAAGCCAAGUUAAAGAGGUGAACUAAGAACAUCACUUUUGAAGGCCAGGGGCAUCUUACUUGCCAACUGGAGGUCACUGAACUGUAAAACUUUGAGGCCUUAUCUGGUGCUAUUAUUGGAGAGGAGAGAAGCACAGUGUGGUGAGCAGAAUUUUAAGGUGGCCCAUUGGAAAAGACUCUGAUGCUGGGAAAGACUGAACGCAGGAAAAAAGGGGAUGACUUAGGAUGAGAUGGUUGGACAAUAUUGCCAACUCAAUGGACUUCAGUUUUAGCAAGCUCUGGGAGAUGAAGAAAGACAGGGGAGCCUGGCAUGCUGCAGUCCAUGGGAUCUCAAAGAGUCAGACAUGACCUAGUGAUUGAACAGCAACAGCUGAGCUUCUCAGACCCCAGUGUACACACACCUCCUCCUAGUCUCCAGUGAGCACCAAUCUGAGUCCUGAUGUGAAGGGAUUUUUCAGAUAUAAUAAAGAUCUUAAAUUAGUUUUCAUUAAGACAAGGAGGUUAUCUGAAGCCUGGCCUAAUCACAGCUGAGUUUAAGGGUCAAAGGCAGAGGAAGCCAGAGAUUCAAAGUGUGAGGGAGGCUGGGCACACACAAAGUUCUCCUUUGAUGACUUGAAGAUGGAGGCGGCACAUGCAAAG
RNAcentral lists this long non-coding RNA (1309 nucleotides) under Ovis aries (sheep). RNAcentral's name for it is "lncRNA (ENSOARG00000026609.1)". The record is from RNAcentral. Lineage: Eukaryota; Metazoa; Chordata; Mammalia; Artiodactyla; Bovidae.